RNAcentral lists this ribosomal RNA (253 nucleotides) under uncultured bacterium. Its description in RNAcentral is "partial 16S ribosomal RNA". It matches the Rfam family "Bacterial small subunit ribosomal RNA", at positions 524 to 776 of the family's 1533-position model. The record is from RNAcentral.
UACGGAGGGGGUUAGCGUUGUUCGGAAUGACUGGGCGUAAAGCGCGCGUAGGCGGAUCGGAAAGUUGGGGGUGAAAGCCCAGGGCUCAACCCUGGAACGGCCUUCAAGACUUCCGGUCUAGAGUUCGAGAGAGGUGGGUGGAAUUCCGAGUGUAGAGGUGAAAUUCGUAGAUAUUCGGAGGAACACCGGUGGCGAAGGCGGAUCUCUGGGCCAUUACUGACGCUGAGGAGCGAAAGCGUGGGGAGCGAACAGG